This 484-nucleotide ribosomal RNA is filed under the name uncultured bacterium. RNAcentral's name for it is "partial 16S ribosomal RNA". It matches the Rfam family "Bacterial small subunit ribosomal RNA", at positions 29 to 507 of the family's 1533-position model. The record is from RNAcentral.
AUUGAACGCUGGCGGAAUGCUUUACACAUGCAAGUCGAGCGGCAGCGCGGCCUUCGGGCUGGCGGCGAGCGGCGAACGGGUGAGUAAUGCAUCGGAACAUGCCCAGUCGUGGGGGAUAACACUUCGAAAGAAGUGCUAAUACCGCAUACGUCCUGAGGGGGAAAGCGGGGGAUCGCAAGACCUCGCGCGAUUGGAGUGGCCGAUGUCAGAUUAGCUAGUUGGCGGGGUAAAGGCCUACCAAGGCGACGAUCUGUAGCUGGUCUGAGAGGAUGAUCAGCCACACUGGGACUGAGACACGGCCCAGACUCCUACGGGAGGCAGCAGUGGGGAAUUUUGGACAAUGGGGGCAAGCCUGAUCCAGCCAUUCCGCGUGAGUGAAGAAGGCCUUCGGGUUGUAAAGCUCUUUCGGCAGGAACGAAACGGUGGGCUCUAACAUAGUCCGCUAAUGACGGUACCUGAAGAAGAAGCACCGGCUAACUACGUG